Molecule: ribosomal RNA, 1557 nt
Filed under: Staphylococcus aureus
Lineage: Bacteria; Bacillati; Bacillota; Bacilli; Caryophanales; Staphylococcaceae
Description: 16S ribosomal RNA
Rfam family: Bacterial small subunit ribosomal RNA
Source: RNAcentral
UUUUAUGGAGAGUUUGAUCCUGGCUCAGGAUGAACGCUGGCGGCGUGCCUAAUACAUGCAAGUCGAGCGAACGGACGAGAAGCUUGCUUCUCUGAUGUUAGCGGCGGACGGGUGAGUAACACGUGGAUAACCUACCUAUAAGACUGGGAUAACUUCGGGAAACCGGAGCUAAUACCGGAUAAUAUUUUGAUCUGCAUGGUUCAAAAGUAAAAGACGGUCUUGCUGUCACUUAUAGAUGGAUCCGCGCUGCAUUAGCUAGUUGGUAAGGUAACGGCUUACCAAGGCAACGAUGCAUAGCCGACCUGAGAGGGUGAUCGGCCACACUGGAACUGAGACACGGUCCAGACUCCUACGGGAGGCAGCAGUAGGGAAUCUUCCGCAAUGGGCGAAAGCCUGACGGAGCAACGCCGCGUGAGUGAUGAAGGUCUUCGGAUCGUAAAACUCUGUUAUUAGGGAAGAACAUAUGUGUAAGUAACUGUGCACAUCUUGACGGUACCUAAUCAGAAAGCCACGGCUAACUACGUGCCAGCAGCCGCGGUAAUACGUAGGUGGCAAGCGUUAUCCGGAAUUAUUGGGCGUAAAGCGCGCGUAGGCGGUUUUUUAAGUCUGAUGUGAAAGCCCACGGCUCAACCGUGGAGGGUCAUUGGAAACUGGAAAACUUGAGUGCAGAAGAGGAAAGUGGAAUUCCAUGUGUAGCGGUGAAAUGCGCAGAGAUAUGGAGGAACACCAGUGGCGAAGGCGACUUUCUGGUCUGUAACUGACGCUGAUGUGCGAAAGCGUGGGGAUCAAACAGGAUUAGAUACCCUGGUAGUCCACGCCGUAAACGAUGAGUGCUAAGUGUUAGGGGGUUUCCGCCCCUUAGUGCUGCAGCUAACGCAUUAAGCACUCCGCCUGGGGAGUACGACCGCAAGGUUGAAACUCAAAGGAAUUGACGGGGACCCGCACAAGCGGUGGAGCAUGUGGUUUAAUUCGAAGCAACGCGAAGAACCUUACCAAAUCUUGACAUCCUUUGACAACUCUAGAGAUAGAGCCUUCCCCUUCGGGGGACAAAGUGACAGGUGGUGCAUGGUUGUCGUCAGCUCGUGUCGUGAGAUGUUGGGUUAAGUCCCGCAACGAGCGCAACCCUUAAGCUUAGUUGCCAUCAUUAAGUUGGGCACUCUAAGUUGACUGCCGGUGACAAACCGGAGGAAGGUGGGGAUGACGUCAAAUCAUCAUGCCCCUUAUGAUUUGGGCUACACACGUGCUACAAUGGACAAUACAAAGGGCAGCGAAACCGCGAGGUCAAGCAAAUCCCAUAAAGUUGUUCUCAGUUCGGAUUGUAGUCUGCAACUCGACUACAUGAAGCUGGAAUCGCUAGUAAUCGUAGAUCAGCAUGCUACGGUGAAUACGUUCCCGGGUCUUGUACACACCGCCCGUCACACCACGAGAGUUUGUAACACCCGAAGCCGGUGGAGUAACCUUUUAGGAGCUAGCCGUCGAAGGUGGGACAAAUGAUUGGGGUGAAGUCGUAACAAGGUAGCCGUAUCGGAAGGUGCGGCUGGAUCACCUCCUUUCUAA